AAGAGAGGCAAAUACAACCUACCAGUUCGUCAGCAGCAUUUGAAGUGUCGCCAUGACAACCAUCUCCAAAGUCGUCAGUGGGAGGACUCCAUGUUUGUGCUGUCUUCGGUUGUGUCAACAUCUCUGUUUAAUGGACAGUUUAGAUGUGUGAGGAAGAUGAUCAUCUGUGGCUGUGUCUGUACAACACAGGAGGGCACUGGAUUCUUUAGAUUGUGAAAAUGCCAGGACAGGCCCUACUUGCUAUUGACCCGUUAAGGAACGAGCAGAAAUACAGCAGGAAACUCUUGAGACACUGGAGGAAUUUCUUAAGGAUGAGACAGCACCGAUUAAGCAGCACAACGUGGACUGUAGAAACUCUGGCUCAUGAGCUGCAGGUGGAUGGGAGUAGCUGUGGAGUCUUUAUUUUAAAAUUUGCGGAUGAAUACCUUCAGUCUGGAUCAAUCCUUGAUGUGAAGACUGAUCCUGGACCUGUGCAGGCUGUCAGACUACACAUUGCCUGCGAGCUCAUUGAAAAUGGUGGUAGGUCCUCAGCCUCACAGGAUAUUUCAACAUUAUUUAUGUUUUUUAGAUUUUCUGAUACUGUAGAUACGGUGUAAUGGACUUAUUAAAUCUAAUUUAUUUUCCAAAAAGGCAUUGUUGAAUACAGCAUAGCCUGCAACAUCAUCGACUCUGACACGGAAAGUGACAAUGUUAGCUUGGCGUAGAUAGAAAUUAGAAAAAUGUAUAGAAAUAACAAGCUUUACUGGUGCUUCCAGUAACAGAGGAUAAUACAGUUCCAGUACUUCAUUAUAAAUGCGUUUAAGUCCACUGUUACAUGUAACGUGUCUCACAUGAAACUGACAGUAUGAUGGUAAUUUCUGUCACUGUAAAUGGUUGACUAUAGAAAAUAUUUUGAACUAGUAAUCUCAGUCUUCUAUCGAGAAAUGUCUGCCCACUCUUAUUCUCCUCAGGUGCACUAAGACAUUUGUCUCCGAUGGACACAUCCUGACUGUCUGAAAUCUGUCCCUGCCAAUGGAAAUGAAAAUUACAGUUGCUUGAAAUGCAGAAAAUAGAAAAAAUAGGCUACAUUUUCUUGAGGAAAUGUGUGUGCUUGUGAGAUAACAAAUAAUAAUAAGAUAAAAAAGAUAAGUGAUACGUGUGUGUGUGUGUGUGUGUGUGUGUGUGUGUGUGUGUACACAUGUGUAGGGUGCUCAUUAUGAGCUACUCUACUUUUAACCAUAUUUACAGUAGACCAUUCCGAUAGAUAUUUCCUACCUGACAGAAUGAGCGCCCCUACUUUUAAUCCCAUUUUUAGGGGUUGUAUGUGUGCUUCUCACCCGUAUCUAUAUGCUAGGGUGGGGGAUUAGGAGUGAGAGGCUUAGUUCAUCACACUUGUCUGACAGGAUGACAGCGGGAACACCGGCGGACACUUCAGCUAACAAGCAGCUGUCGGUCCCACUAGCUGCACUAACAUCAGCGCUCCUAUUAACGGUUAACGUCACUUAACGCUAGGUCACAUGUUAAUUAGCUCGCUAGAUGUAGCUGUACUGGUAAGUUUAGAAGUGGCACGGAAAGACUAACGUUAAGUUAGCCUCUGUGAGUGUUGUGUAACGUCAGCCCCAAAGUAACGUUAGUGUGUCUGGUGCUGAUGCUGCAAGCUGAAGACUUAGCUUAACGCUAGAGAAUUAGCUUACUGUACUGUAUUAGCUGAAGCUAGCAUAGUGGGUUGAGAAGGCC
This is a long non-coding RNA of Siniperca chuatsi (mandarin fish), 1716 nucleotides long. RefSeq lists it as uncharacterized. The transcript is spliced from 6 exons. Lineage: Eukaryota; Metazoa; Chordata; Actinopteri; Centrarchiformes; Sinipercidae. The record is from RefSeq and is a predicted model, not a curated record.